GUUUAAGUGAAUGCACAAAUCACCGGCGUUUACGCAACACACACUGCGCUUAUCUACAAGUGCUUCUCAUUUGCAAGCUUCAGACCUACUCCAUCUUCCGUCUCCUGCUUCCCAUCCAAACAGAGGACUGUACUGGAUCUACUAGAUCAAUAUCUAGUAUCACAUGGAAGAAAGACAUUAAGUGACCUGCAUAUGGGCUUCAUUUAGAACUCCUCACAUUAAGAGGCCCCGCACUUGGCCACUUCAGCACUGGACCAGUCCCAGGCACAACACAGAUCAGCUUUGGGGCCAACAGUUUCCAAGGGCCUGUUCCAGCAGUUCUAGGAUGCUUGAGCUUCCAAGGUAGCGAGGGAAGGAGGAGAAUGAGGCUAUAGGGUGCUGUCCAUCAUGGUGUCCAUGUUGGUCAUUGGUCGUCGUGAACAGUCUCCGAGAGGCAACACAUCACUCACCCCUACUUACCUAAGACUGAGAGAUUCUGGUCCAGCAGCUGAUUUGAUUUGUGUUCCUCUUGUGCACAUCACCAUCACCAGGCACAGUAGAAGGUCUGGGUUGUCCAUCACAUUGGAACUGAGGCAAUCAGUCAGACACGACCCUCCUUCCAUGACUGAUAUCUCGUCUGUAAAGUAUAGAUUUCUUGACUGUUAGUCGAUAAUAUCUGUAAGGGCUAGAGGGCUUGGGCUUCACGCCC
This is a long non-coding RNA of Mauremys reevesii (Reeves's turtle), 688 nucleotides long. RefSeq lists it as uncharacterized. The record is from RefSeq and is a predicted model, not a curated record. The transcript has 4 exons. NCBI's taxonomy places the organism in Eukaryota, Metazoa, Chordata, Testudines, Geoemydidae.